Non-coding RNA from Suricata suricatta (meerkat), 615 nucleotides. NCBI's taxonomy places the organism in Eukaryota, Metazoa, Chordata, Mammalia, Carnivora, Herpestidae. The record is from the annotation of a RefSeq genome assembly.
CAGCCAGGACCCUGCAGCUGGGAGAGGAGCCCCAGCCCCUGGAGUCCCAGGUGUUCCCAUUCUGUGAUCAGGACAGAACACAGACAUCUCACCAUGGACUUUGUGCUUGGCUGGGUUUUCCUUGUUGCUGUUUUAAAAGGUGUCCAGUGUGAGGUGCAGCUGGUGGAGUCUGGGGGAGGCCUGGCGAAGCCUGGAGGCUCCCUGCGACUCUCCUGUGCAGCCUCCGGAUUUGACUUCAGUAAAUAUACCAUGUGCUGGGUCCGCCAGGCUCCAGAGAAGGGGCUGGAGUGGGUCUCAUAUAUUAGUACUAAUGGAGGCACAAGCUAUGCAGACUCCGUGAAGGGCCGAUUCACCAUCUCCAGGGACAACGCCAAGAACACAGUCGAUCUGCAGAUGAACAGCCUGAGGCCUGAGGACACAGCCACUUAUUUCUGUGCGAGAGACACAACGACCAGCUCCAUGGACAGCCUCACUGGUGGAGUAGUUGUGAGACUGGAGGUGGACAGUUCCCCAGACAGCCGUGUGCAGGGUGGCCGGGUAUCCAGAGGUGCACAAACCUUCACAGGCAUGCAGCACCUGCGGGCAAGGCAGCAGAGACCAGGGGAAGAGAAGUAG